RNAcentral lists this ribosomal RNA (119 nucleotides) under Pteropus alecto (black flying fox). The record is from RNAcentral. Lineage: Eukaryota; Metazoa; Chordata; Mammalia; Chiroptera; Pteropodidae.
AUCAACGGCCAUGCCACCUUGAACAAACCUGAUCCCAUCUGAUCUUGGAAGCCAAGCAGGGUCGGGCCUGAUUAGUACUUAGAUGGGAGACCACCUAGGAGGACUAGGUGCUGUAGGUG